UACGUAGGGUGCAGGCGUUAAUCGGAAUUACUGGGCGUAAAGGGCUCGUAGGCGGCCAACUAAGUCAGACGUGAAAUCCCUCGGCUUAACCGGGGAACUGCGUCUGAUACUGGAUGGCUAGAGGUUGGGAGAGGGAUGCGGAAUUCCAGGUGUAGCGGUGAAAUGCGUAGAUAUCUGGAGGAACACCGGUGGCGAAGGCGGCAUCCUGGACCAAUUCUGACGCUGAGGAGCGAAAGCCAGGGGAGCAAACGGG
RNAcentral lists this ribosomal RNA (253 nucleotides) under uncultured bacterium. RNAcentral's name for it is "partial 16S ribosomal RNA". It matches the Rfam family "Bacterial small subunit ribosomal RNA", at positions 524 to 776 of the family's 1533-position model. The record is from RNAcentral.